UACGUAGGGUGCAAGCGUUGUCCGGAAUUAUUGGGCGUAAAGAGCUCGUAGGCGGUCUGUCGCGUCGGCUGUGAAAUCCCGAGGCUCAACCUCGGGUCUGCAGUCGAUACGGGCAAACUGGAGUGUUGCAGGGGAGACUGGAAUUCCUGGUGUAGCGGUGAAAUGCGCAGAUAUCAGGAGGAACACCGGUGGCGAAGGCGGGUCUCUGGGCAACAACUGACGCUGAGGCACGAAAGCGUGGGGAGCAAACAGG
RNAcentral lists this ribosomal RNA (253 nucleotides) under uncultured bacterium. RNAcentral describes it as "partial 16S ribosomal RNA". It matches the Rfam family "Bacterial small subunit ribosomal RNA", at positions 524 to 776 of the family's 1533-position model. The record is from RNAcentral.